Triticum aestivum (bread wheat) is the source of this 2364-nucleotide RNA transcript. It is a transcript of the gene named protein REVEILLE 7-like, with no coding region annotated. The record is from RefSeq and is a predicted model, not a curated record. NCBI's taxonomy places the organism in Eukaryota, Viridiplantae, Streptophyta, Magnoliopsida, Poales, Poaceae. The transcript is spliced from 10 exons.
CCCCUCUCUUUUAUGCGACUCCUCUCUCCCUCCCCUCCUGACUCGUCUCAGUCUCUUCGCCUCUCUUCUCUCCCUCCUGCCCGUGCCUCCCUCCUCGCGCUUCAUCGACAACGAGCACCUCGUCUUGGUCUUGGCCUUGGCUUUUGGUGUGGCGACGUUGGGUACUGUGAUUAUCUUGUUCUCGCUGGCAGGAGAUGGCCUGUACGCAGGAGAACGCCAUGGCAACCGACGAAAGCACCGGGGAUCAUCGCGGGAGUCGUCCGAGUUCCCACGACAUGGAUUUAUCAGGGGAUGACCACGUGCCAAAGGCGCGCAAGCCGUACACCAUCACGAAGCAGCGGGAGAAGUGGACCGAGGAAGAGCACAAGCGCUUCCUGGAGGCCCUGCAGCUGCACGGCCGCGCCUGGCGCCGCAUACAAGAGCACAUAGGCACCAAGACGGCGGUGCAAAUCCGGAGCCACGCGCAGAAGUUCUUCUCUAAGGUCACCAGAGAGUCGUCCGGGAGCAGCAGCGGCUCGGGCGCCGCGGCCGCGACGGCGACGGCGGCGAUCCAGAUCCCCCCGCCGCGGCCCAAGAGGAAGCCGACGCACCCGUACCCGCGCAAAGCGGACGACGGCGCGGCGGCCGGCGGGAAGCACGGCCCGGGGCUCACGCAUCUGGAGAGGCCUCCCGUGCGGAUGGGCGAGCAGGAGGAAGGGUCGCCGACGUCGGUGCUCACCGCGUCGCGGGUCGAGGCCUCGGGUGGCCGCUUCUCCAAUAACUCCAGCGGCAGCAGGUCGCCGGUUCCGUCGGCCGCCGGCUCCCUCUACGGCUCGUCGGUGGACAGAGGGGACGGCUGCCUCUCGCCAAAUACUAAGGCUUCAGAGUUCACUGCAAAUGGUGAUGUCAAAGAGGGGUCAUGUACAGGAUCAGCGACAUCGGUCCUUAAGCUAUUCGGCAAGAAAGUCGUGGUGAAUGAUUCAUUCCAGAAGCCGAAUACCAGCACCGGCAACCCGCAGAAUGGUGGGGACGUCGGAACUGAAGCUUCAGACGAUACAACCACACAAGGAAGCAGAAACCUACCUUCUGGCGGUGCCACAGAAGGAAGCUCAUGGAGUCCAUGGCCGAGCAGCAUGCAGCAGUUUGUGUAUUUUGUUCCUCAACCGGAUGGUUUCGCCACACAAUCUGCGGUGCCAUGGUUCGGCACCCUGCCUGGUGCAACGUUCUACCAGCAAGCCGUGGCUCCAAAUCAGCACCAGCACCAGCGCCAUCGCUCAGAGACCGCAGACCACAAGUUCAUGCAGAGGGAAGGAUCCUGGACAGGAUCAAACACUGGCCCCGGAUCAGCUGCGCAUAAUUCAGAUGCUGCCGACUCCCGAGGGAGAGGAAACAGCAGCGAGAGCGACAAAACGCUUGUGCCGCGGUUAACAAAGUGCGAGAGCUCUGUUUCGGUCAGCCUGCAAAGAGGUUUCAUGUCAUACAAGAGAUGCGCGGCCGAGAGCGAAUCGCUGCGGUCGGAGGCACCCAGAGAGGAGACCAACGGGCUAGCGCGGCGGCAGCAGCGGCUCAGGUGCGGUACGCAACGGAGAGGAGGCGUAGCUGCGGAGCGCUGCCGAAGCGGGGAGGAGGACAACUGAGGCGGGUCACUGGGAGGCGCCUGGACACCUUCAGUGAGAACCCUUGCCAUGCCAAAGUCGCCAUUUCUACCUGUGCUAGCAGACGGGGAGCUUCAAAACCAGCCGUUCCGGCGACGUUCUGCACGUCCAGAAUCUGGGUUGGCUUCAAUAACCUUGGAAGUGAAACAUUAUCUUUUGGUGCAUCUCCAUUCUCCAACACACUGCCUGGAAUUUCUCCCCAGGCAAAGAUGUCCUUCAGAGAAUCUAUUCCACAUGCCAUGUGGGAUCCUUCAGAAGCUUUCAGUUUAGGCAUUUGGGAGUAAUUCUUUCCAAGUAGAAAUCUACAUCUGACCACGUUCUCUCCCUUGGAGAGACGAAUGCUUCUGGGCAAUCCAGACUGCUCUUCGAUACUUUGUUCUGUAUCAAUCUAGGACUGCCAUACACAGUAACAAGGCGUGAAGGAGCAUGAUAAGAAGGCGGGGACCAUAUGGACUGAUGGAGACAGGUGGGUAAAUCAGAAGAAGUUACUAAAUGGUGUUGAUCAUUGCUGAGGUGGGAUGAUAUGGUGAAGAACUUGAAGUCGAAAGCAACUUCUUGACUGUCGGUAAUUUACCUUGGUAUAUAUGAGUUUCACGUGGGCUUAUUUCCGUAUCGGUUUGAUACUUGACUUUCAAUUAUUAAUAAAAAAUAUUGCGAGAAAUUUCUGUUUGUAGAAAAAGUUCAAAAGUAAAUAAACUUGUUCUCUAGCGCAUUGUGUAAAAAUGUUUUG